Molecule: ribosomal RNA, 429 nt
Filed under: bacterium
Lineage: Bacteria
Description: partial 16S ribosomal RNA
Rfam family: Bacterial small subunit ribosomal RNA
Source: RNAcentral
UAGGGAAUCUUCCACAAUGGACGCAAGUCUGAUGGAGCAACGCCGCGUGAGUGAAGAAGGUUUUCGGAUCGUAAAGCUCUGCUGUUGGUGAAGAAGGAUAGAGGUAGUAACUGGCCUUUAUUUGACGGUAAUCAACCAGAAAGUCACGGCUAACUACGUGCCAGCAGCCGCGGUAAUACGUAGGUGGCAAGCGUUGUCCGGAUUUAUUGGGCGUAAAGCGAGCGCAGGCGGAAGAAUAAGUCUGAUGUGAAAGCCCUCGGCUUAACCGAGGAACGGCAUCGGAAACUGUUUUUCUUGAGUGCAGAAGAGGGGAGUGGAAUUCCAUGUGUAGCGGUGGGAUGCGUAGAUAUAUGGAAGAACAACAGUGGCGAGUGCGGCUCUCUGGUCUGCAACUGACGCUGAGGCUCGAAAGCAUGGGUAGCGAACAGG